RNAcentral lists this ribosomal RNA (402 nucleotides) under uncultured bacterium. Its description in RNAcentral is "bacterial SSU rRNA". It matches the Rfam family "Bacterial small subunit ribosomal RNA", at positions 356 to 774 of the family's 1533-position model. The record is from RNAcentral.
AGGGAAUAUUGCAAAAUGGGCGAAAGCCCGAUGCAGCAACGCCGCGUGGGCGAUGAAGGCCUUCGGGUCGUAAAGCCCUUUUUGAGGGGAUGAGGAAGGACAGUACCCUCAGAAUAAGCCUCGGCUAACUACGUGCCAGCAGCCGCGGUAAAACGUAGGAGGCGAGCGUUAUCCGGAUUUACUGGGCGUAAAGCGCGUGCAGGCGGAUUGGAGAGUUGGAUGUGAAAGCUCCCGGCUUAACUGGGAGAGGUCGUUCAAUACUUCCAGUCUUGAGUGCAGUAGAGGGAAGUGGAAUUCCGGGUGUAGUGGUGAAGUGCGUAGAUAUCCGGAGGAACACCAGUGGCGAAAGCGGCUUCCUGGACUGUAACUGACGCUCAGACGCGAAAGCUAGGGUAGCAAACG